GCCUGGGUGGCUCAGUCGGUUAAGCAUCUGACUUCAGCUCAGGUCACGAUCUCGCGGUCCGUGAGUUCGAGCCCCGCGUCGGGCU
Molecule: non-coding RNA, 85 nt
Organism: Felis catus (domestic cat)
Lineage: Eukaryota; Metazoa; Chordata; Mammalia; Carnivora; Felidae
Source: Rfam